GGAUGUUAGGGCAAUCUGGUUGUGACAUUGCUCAGUCCACUAACCACCAGCAUUGAUUUGGCUGAUCUGACUGGCUAGGCAUGCUUCCCCUUCCUCCCUCACUACUCCAUGUGCAUCCCUCCCAAAGCUGCACUCUGGGUCAAAGAGAAUAACCUUUGCUCCAUAGAGAAGAACAAUAAUUCUUCAGUCAAGAGUGUAUGAGUAGCUGUGCUACCCUGCCAGGACCUCCAGACAUGCCCUUAUUUGGUUUUAGUUUCUAUUAUACUAUUUGACUAG
RNAcentral lists this small RNA (276 nucleotides) under Jaculus jaculus (lesser Egyptian jerboa). Its description in RNAcentral is "7SK RNA (ENSJJAG00000009033.1)". It matches the Rfam family "7SK RNA", at positions 1 to 252 of the family's 331-position model. Rfam says of the family: 7SK was discovered as an abundant small nuclear RNA in the mid-70s but a possible function has only recently been suggested. Two independent studies have found that 7SK RNA binds the CDK9/cyclin T complex (known as elongation factor P-TEFb). Lineage: Eukaryota; Metazoa; Chordata; Mammalia; Rodentia; Dipodidae. The record is from RNAcentral.